This 513-nucleotide ribosomal RNA is filed under the name uncultured bacterium. RNAcentral's name for it is "bacterial SSU rRNA". It matches the Rfam family "Bacterial small subunit ribosomal RNA", at positions 28 to 530 of the family's 1533-position model. The record is from RNAcentral.
GACGAACGCUGGCGGCGUGGAUUAGGCAUGCAAGUCGAACGGUAUCAUCCUUUCGGGGGUGAGAGAGUGGCGAACUGGUGAGUAACACGUAGGUUAUCUACCCUCAAGACGGGGACAACCCAGGGAAACUUGGGCUAAUACCGGAUGUGAGCAACUUUUAGUUGUUUGAAAGGUGGCGUAAGCUGUCGCUUGGGGAUGAGCCUGCGUCCUAUUAGUUAGUUGGUGGGGUAACGGCUCACCUAGGCAAUGAUAGGUAGGCGGCCUUAACGGGUGGUCGCCCACACUAAGGGAUUGAGAUACGGCCCAGACUCCUACGGGAGGCAGCAGUCGAGAAUAGUCUACAAUGGUCGGAAGACUGAUAGUGCGACGCCGCGUGAACGAUGAAUCCCUUCGGGGUGUAAAGUUCUUUUAUAUGUGAGCAGUGCUUCUUGUAUUAACAGUAUGGGGAGAGAGAUAUUAGCAUAUGAAUAAGCAACGGCUAACUCCGUGCCAGCAGCCGCGGUAAACUCGUCU